CUCUCGGUGGCCAAGUUGGUUUAAGGCGCCAGACUGUAAAUCUGGAUAUCGGGCGUUCGAAUCGCCCCCGGGAGA
This 75-nucleotide transfer RNA is filed under the name Lachancea lanzarotensis. RNAcentral describes it as "tRNA-Tyr (GTA) (tRNA-Tyr-GTA-1 1 to 5)". It matches the Rfam family "tRNA". From Rfam's summary of the family: Transfer RNA (tRNA) molecules are approximately 80 nucleotides in length. Their secondary structure includes four short double-helical elements and three loops (D, anti-codon, and T loops). The record is from RNAcentral. RNAcentral also lists the same sequence under 1 other name. Lineage: Eukaryota; Fungi; Ascomycota; Saccharomycetes; Saccharomycetales; Saccharomycetaceae.